GAUGAAGAACGUAGCGAAAUGCGAUAAGUAAUGUGAAUUGCAGAAUUCAGUGAAUCAUCGAAUCUUUGAACGCACAUUGCGCCCGCCAGUAUUCUGGCGGGCAUGCCUGUUCGAGCGUCAUUUCAACCAUCAAGCCCCAGGCUUGUGUUGGGGACCUGCGGCUGCCGCAGGCCCUGAAAACCAGUGGCGGGCUCGCUGUCACACCGGGCGUAGUAGAUUUUAUCUCGUUCUGGGCGUGCUGCGGGUUCCGGCCGUUAAAAAACCCUUUUAACCCAAGGUUGACCUCGGAUCAGGUAGGAAUACCCGCUGAACUUAAGCAUAUCAAUAAGCGGAGGA
Molecule: unclassified non-coding RNA, 336 nt
Filed under: soil metagenome
Description: partial contains 5.8S ribosomal RNA, internal transcribed spacer 2, and large subunit ribosomal RNA
Rfam family: 5.8S ribosomal RNA (bases 1-120)
Source: RNAcentral